RNAcentral lists this ribosomal RNA (466 nucleotides) under uncultured bacterium. Its description in RNAcentral is "partial 16S ribosomal RNA". It matches the Rfam family "Bacterial small subunit ribosomal RNA", at positions 339 to 795 of the family's 1533-position model. The record is from RNAcentral.
CUACGGGACGCUGCAGUGGGGAAUAUUGGACAAUGGGGGAAACCCUGAUCCAGCAAUGCCGCGUGUGUGAAGAAGGCCUGCGGGUUGUAAAGCACUUUCGGUUGGGAGGACUGCUUCUAGCACUAAUAUUGUUGGAAGUUGACGUUACCUUCAGAAGAAGCACCGGCUAACUCCGUGCCAGCAGGCCGCGGUAAUACGGAGGGUGCAAGCGUUAAUCGGAAUUACUGGGCGUAAAGCGCGCGUAGGCGGCUAGAUCAGUCGGGUGUGAAAGCCCCGGGCUUAACCUGGGAACUGCAUCCGAUACUGUCUAGCUUGAGUACAGGAGAGGAGAGUGGAAUUCCACAUGUAGCGGUGAAACGCGUAGAUAUGUGGAGGAACACCAAUGGCGAAGGCAGCUCUCUGGCCUGAUACUGACGCUGAGGUGCGAAAGCGUGGGGAGCAAACAGGAUUAGAUACCCGUGUAGUC